This 492-nucleotide ribosomal RNA is filed under the name uncultured bacterium. RNAcentral describes it as "partial 16S ribosomal RNA". It matches the Rfam family "Bacterial small subunit ribosomal RNA", at positions 29 to 507 of the family's 1533-position model. The record is from RNAcentral.
AGUGAACGCUGGCGGUAGGCCUAACACAUGCAAGUCGAGCGGCAGCACAGUAAGAGCUUGCUCUUACGGGUGGCGAGUGGCGGACGGGUGAGGAAUACAUCGGAAACUACUUUUUCGUGGGGGAUAACGUAGGGAAACUUACGCUAAUACCGCAUACGACCUACGGGUGAAAGCAGGGGAUCUUCGGACCUUGCGCGAUUGAAUGAGCCGAUGUCGGAUUAGCUAGUUGGCGGGGUAAAGGCCCACCAAGGCGACGAUCCGUAGCUGGUCUGAGAGGAUGAUCAGCCACACUGGAACUGAGACACGGUCCAGACUCCUACGGGAGGCAGCAGUGGGGAAUAUUGGACAAUGGGGGCAAGCCUGAUCCAGCAAUACCGCGUGGGUGAAGAAGGCGUUCGGGUUGUAAAGCCCUUUUGUUGGGAAAGAAAAGCAGCAGGUUAAUACCGCGCUGUUCUGACGGUACCCAAAGAAUAAGCACCGGCUAACUUCGUG